This 402-nucleotide ribosomal RNA is filed under the name bacterium. RNAcentral describes it as "partial 16S ribosomal RNA". It matches the Rfam family "Bacterial small subunit ribosomal RNA", at positions 355 to 776 of the family's 1533-position model. The record is from RNAcentral.
UGGGGAAUUUUGCACAAUGGGGGAAACCCUGAUGCAGCGACGCCGCGUGAUUUAGAAGGCCUUCGGGUUGUAAAAAUCUUUUCUAUGGGAAGAAAAUGACAGUACCAUAGGAAUAAGGACCGGCUAAUUACGUGCCAGCAGCCGCGGUAAUACGUAAGGUCCGAGCGUUGUCCGGAAUCAUUGGGCGUAAAGGGUACGUAGGCGGGUAAGCAAGUUAGAAGUGAAAUCCUAUAGCUCAACUAUAGUAAGCUUUUAAAACUGCUCAUCUUGAGGUAUGUAAGGGAAAGUGGAAUUCCUAGUGUAGCGGUGAAAUGCGAAGAUAUUAGGAGGAAUACCGGUGGCGAAGGCGACUUUCUGGCCAUAACCUGACGCUGAGGUACGAAAGCGUAGGUAGCAAACAGG